CUCCGUAAACCCGCAUUCGUUAGCGAACCGUUGAGUGAAGCGGAAGCCCUAGCACUAGCCCUGCCUGUGUUGGAGUUUCGAUUGAGUGGGUCAACCCGUCGGGUGUGUUGCAUUUAUGUUUUUGCCAGCUGGUUUUUUAAACAGCGAGACCGGAAUCGAGACAGCCACGUGAAGGCUUCGCAAGCUAAGCUAAUUACGUGCGGGUACGGUGUGUGGUGUUUAAUGUUUGUGUACAAACAACUUCUUCCAUUGCGUUCUUGAUGAAUAUAUAGUGAUUCAGCAGUUGGUAGUAAUUGACAAUUAUAUUGAACCAGUAGUGUGUUUAACUUUCCAUCACAAAUAGUACGCUGAUACAGUUCGUGUUCGUGUCCCAAAAAUCACUCCAAUCGCCCGAAGGUCCCGCACCCGGAAUUGCGAUAAGCUGUACAAGGGGGCUGACCCGGUUCGUGUUUGGAAAAUAGCGAAACAUCAUGUUUAGGGGACAUUGGCAUCUAUCACACGUGGAUGUAUAAUCGCUUUAGUAGACUGUCCCGUUCUGUUUGUUUGCACUUCGGAACUAAUCGUGUGAUCUCACAAGUGCGUUACUACGAAUACUAGCAAAUAUGGUUUACUAUUAGCCUUUUUUCGAGUGUGAUUGAUCCGACGCGAUCUGUCAGCUAACGGUGACGAAACGCGCGCAUUUGUUUGUUCUUAUCAGUAGACCGCCACGGCGAGAGCCUGUUGCUCCCCACAAUUGUGCCGUGACCCCUGGGUAUAUAGUGGAUUAAAACCCCACUCAUGGUGCGAGCUCUAGCAGCGUAUGUGUGUGUGUGGGACUCUUAUAAUCCGAUGUCAGUUAUUCCGAUGCGCUGAUACGGGCGGAGUCCGUCGCAAUCGACUUUGGUAGUGGUAUGGUGUGCGCAUACCGGGCAUUUUCAGUAUGAUGAUGAUUACGGCUUUUGCCGGUUGUGCGGUGCUGUAAUUAGUGUGCCAUCAGUGUGUGAUAGCUGAAGCGCCACGAACGUACCGAGGAUCGUUCGUCACUCGCGCAAAGUAACGCAACGUGUCGCACGCGAAGUUCUCCAACCGUGUAACGUCCGCUAUGCGUUAAAGACGUUUAGCCAAUAGAAUAGUACACCUUUACUUUGCGCAAACUACAACUAGACGCUGGUACACGUGAGGGGGAACGGUGAAAGGUCGAUCAUUUCUCACCAGUGUGUGAGUUGUUUUUAUCGACUUGUUUACACGUGAUAUUCUAGUGCAUUCAAACGCGAUCGUCGUUGAUCGUGCUACCCCUCAUCGUCGACAAAAUGAUCGGGAUUAAAUAUCUGAACGAUGCCCACCUUAAGGGGUUCGAAAAGUACAAGUACAACUGCGUCGAUACAAGUAUUCUUAGUGUUUAUGUUAUGCACCCGUUCUGGAAUAAGGUCGUCCUAUAUUGUCCACGGUGGAUUGCACCGAACCUACUUACCUUUUCCGGUUUUCUGCUGACGGUGGUGAAUUUUUUUCUGAUAGCAUAUUACGACUACGAUUUUCGAGCAGCCACCAAAACUCCCAUACCCAUACCGGAUUGGGUAUGGAUCUUAGCAGCGAUCAAUCUAUUUGUAGCCUAUACUUUAGACGGUAUCGAUGGCAAACAGGCACGAAGAACUGGAACCAGUGGACCACUGGGUGAAUUGUUCGAUCACGGGCUCGAUUCUUACUCGGCAGUUCUGAUACCAAUCUACAUGUUCACCAUAUUCGGUGCUGCCGAUCUACCACCGGUGCGAAUGUACUUCAUUACACUGAACGUGUUCCUUAACUUCUAUCUGCCACAUGUGGAGAAGUACCUGACCGGGGUAAUGUUCCUGCCCUGGGGUUAUGAUUUUGUCAUGUGGGGCGUAUCGAUAACUUUAGCGAUCACAGGAAUACUGGGAGCUGAGUUUUGGCAAAUUCCCAUCUUUGGUGUGAAACCUUGUCACAUAUUCGAGAUGACACUUUACGUGUCUGCCGUCAUUACUAGUCAUCCCAUUAUUAUACACAAUGUUUACAAAUCUUAUCGCGACAAAACGGGUAAAAUGCGAUCAUUCAGCGAAGCAAUCCGACCAUUAGUACCGCUUAGCAGUCUAUUUAUUAUGUGUACCGUGUGGGUACUGUGCUCACGAAAUGGAAUAAUCGAUAUGGAACCAAGACUGUACUUUGUAAUGUGUGGUACACUUUUCUCCAACAUUUGUUGCCGUCUUAUUGUAGCUCAAAUGUCUGAUACUCGGGCGGAUCUUUGGAACGGGCUGCUCAACUUGCUGUGUGUGGUUGCCUUCUUCUGUAUCCUGCCCUAUCCACUCCUUGGUAUGCCCGAGCUAAGCAUCCAGGUCGAACGAUACCUGCUGUACGGGUUGACAUUCUGCGUCACGAUCGCGCACAUACACUACGGUGCAGGAGUAGUACGCGAAAUGUGUCAUCAUUUCCGGAUUCGUUGUUUCAAAGUAAGAUCGGAUGCUAGUAAGCUUACUGCGAGUACUAAUAACCUAGAUGUUAACCGUAACGGUAGCUAUCCUAACAAACAUCAUCUUAACCACCGCCAGAUUAAAUCCAAGUAAUGUGGUCAGUAGAAUGUAGCGAACCAGUCACAGAUAAGGCAAAUUUGCUUAAAACUCUAACCAGAAAAUGCCUACCCGAAUUUCUACUACCUUGUUUUGCUUCGAGCAGAUCGUCCCACUGGAAAAGCGAAAAGCGAAACUAGCUCUGGUUUAGAGUACGGUGUUUUUGGGGGGAAAACAAAUGUGCCGAAUGUGUUGCGUCUACCAUCACGUGUGAAGUGUCCGAGUGUACGCGAAAGAUGUGGUGUAAAUAUGUUCGCUAUCAUUCGCUAAGUAAUUCUGCAUACGGUAGUGAUACGAUCACCGAUACCAACCACUCCGUUACCGCAGACAACCCCGCCAGCGGACGAUAUGGAGGACAUCGAGCUGUGAAUAGCUACGGGAUUCAAUUAAACACGGGUGCAUUUCACGGGCGGUGCUUUAAUAACCUAGAACUACGUAUGUUAAAUCACUAUUGUUUAAGCUUCGGGUCGGAACGGAAACUACUUGUGUACAUACAUAUUUACCAACCAAAAAUGCCAGAAUGAAUGUGUACAUAGUGUUGUAAUCAGUUUAAGAAGUGUUUCCUGUUGCAAAUAUAGGAAAAUUACAGUGAAAAGAAAUAAUAAGAAAAAUUCA
This is an RNA transcript of Anopheles funestus (African malaria mosquito), 3173 nucleotides long. It is a transcript of the gene named ethanolaminephosphotransferase 1, with no coding region annotated. NCBI's taxonomy places the organism in Eukaryota, Metazoa, Arthropoda, Insecta, Diptera, Culicidae. The transcript has 7 exons. The record is from RefSeq and is a predicted model, not a curated record.